This 720-nucleotide ribosomal RNA is filed under the name gamma proteobacterium BAL384. RNAcentral's name for it is "bacterial SSU rRNA". It matches the Rfam family "Bacterial small subunit ribosomal RNA", at positions 47 to 762 of the family's 1533-position model. Lineage: Bacteria; Pseudomonadati; Pseudomonadota; Gammaproteobacteria. The record is from RNAcentral.
CAGCUACACAUGCAGUCGAGCGGAUGAAGAGAGCUUGCUCUCUGAUUCAGCGGCGGACGGGUGAGUAAUGCCUAGGAAUCUGCCUGAUAGUGGGGGACAACGUUUCGAAAGGAACGCUAAUACCGCAUACGUCCUACGGGAGAAAGCAGGGGACCUUCGGGCCUUGCGCUAUCAGAUGAGCCUAGGUCGGAUUAGCUAGUUGGUGAGGUAACGGCUCACCAAGGCGACGAUCCGUAACUGGUCUGAGAGGAUGAUCAGUCACACUGGAACUGAGACACGGUCCAGACUCCUACGGGAGGCAGCAGUGGGGAAUAUUGGACAAUGGGCGAAAGCCUGAUCCAGCCAUGCCGCGUGUGUGAAGAAGGUCUUCGGAUUGUAAAGCACUUUAAGUUGGGAGGAAGGGCAUUAACCUAAUACGUUAGUGUUUUGACGUUACCGACAGAAUAAGCACCGGCUAACUUCGUGCCAGCAGCCGCGGUAAUACGAAGGGUGCAAGCGUUAAUCGGAAUUACUGGGCGUAAAGCGCGCGUAGGUGGUUUGUUAAGUUGAAUGUGAAAGCCCCGGGCUCAACCUGGGAACUGCAUCCAAAACUGGCAAGCUAGAGUAUGGCAGAGGGUGGUGGAAUUUCCUGUGUAGCGGUGAAAUGCGUAGAUAUAGGAAGGAACACCAGUGGCGAAGGCGACCACCUGGGCUAAUACUGACACUGAGGUGCGAAAGCGU